AAAUUCUUACUUGGGAAUCUGGUUGAAGUACAUAUUCUGAUUCAGAAAGUCUGGGACAGGGCCAGAGAUUUUGCAUUUCUAACAAACUCCCAGGUGAUGCUGAU
RNAcentral lists this microRNA precursor (104 nucleotides) under Marmota monax (woodchuck). Lineage: Eukaryota; Metazoa; Chordata; Mammalia; Rodentia; Sciuridae. The record is from RNAcentral.